UGGGGAAUCUUGCGCAAUGCGCGAAAGCGUGACGCAGCAACACCGCGUGAGGGAAGACGGCCUUAGGGUUGUAAACCUCUUUCAGUUGGGACGAAGGUUCACCGGUGAACAGCCGAGUGGAUUGACGGUACCUUCAGAAGAAGCUCCGGCUAACUACGUGCCAGCAGCCGCGGUAAUACGUAGGGAGCGAGCGUUGUCCGGAAUCAUUGGGCGUAAAGAGCGCGUAGGUGGGUAAAUCAGUCUGCUGUGAAAGUCGAAGGCUCAACCUUCGAAAGCCGGUGGAUACUGUUUAUCUUGAGUACGGAAGAGGCGAGUGGAAUUCCUGGUGUAGCGGUGGAAUGCGCAGAUAUCAGGAGGAACACCAAUAGCGAAGGCAGCUCGCUGGGACGUUACUGACACUAAGGCGCGAAAGCGUGGGGAGCAAACAGG
This 429-nucleotide ribosomal RNA is filed under the name uncultured Solirubrobacterales bacterium. RNAcentral's name for it is "bacterial SSU rRNA". It matches the Rfam family "Bacterial small subunit ribosomal RNA", at positions 355 to 776 of the family's 1533-position model. Lineage: Bacteria; Bacillati; Actinomycetota; Thermoleophilia; Solirubrobacterales. The record is from RNAcentral.